Molecule: ribosomal RNA, 524 nt
Filed under: uncultured fungus
Lineage: Eukaryota; Fungi
Description: eukaryotic LSU rRNA
Rfam family: 5.8S ribosomal RNA (bases 183-335)
Source: RNAcentral
UUAGAGGAAGUAAAAGUCGUAACAAGGUCUCCGUAGGUGAACCUGCGGAGGGAUCAUUAAUGAAAGGUCGCAAGACCUAGACCCUUCAAACCUGUGGAAGCGAGACGUGCUUCGGCAGAGUCGCUCUUGACCUGCCGCAUUUAUGCUGUCUGGUGUUUGUGUCUGAAUCAAAGAAGAAUCAAAACUUUCAACAAAGGAUCUCUUGGCUCUCGCAUCGAUGAAGAACGCAGCGAAGCGCGAAAUGUAGUGUGAAUCGCAGAACAUUGUGAAUCAUCGAAUCUUUGAACGCACAUUGCGCCUCUCCUCUCAAGAGAGGCAUGCCUGUCUGAGCGUCAUUUAAACCAUGGACCCGGCCUCGGGUUCCGUGCUGGGUCUCGCCCCUCCUCGGGCGUCUCCUCAAAGUCAUCGGUCUACACGAGCGGAUGAAAUCCUUCAGGACUGACCGUUCGUCAGACUUUAAAAAUCUCCAGAGUUGACCUCAGAUCAGGUAGGACUACCGCCUGAACUUAAGCAUAUCAAUAAGC